CAGAGGUCCCGAGCGUUGUUCGGAUUCACUGGGCGUAAAGGGUGCGUAGGUGGCGAGGUAAGUCGGAUGUGAAAUCUCCAAGCUCAACUUGGAAAUGGCAUUGGAAACUACCAUGCUUGAGGUUUGAGGGGGGACUGGAAUACUUGGUGUAGCAGUGAAAUGCAUAGAUAUCAAGUGGAACACCAGUGGCGAAGGCGAGUCCCUGGACAACACCUGACACUGAGGCACGAAAGCUAGGGGAGCAAACAGGAUUAGAUACCCUGGUAGUCCUAGCUGUAAACGGUGCUUGCUUGCUGUAAAAGGAAUCGACCCCUUUUGUGGCGAAGCCAACGCGUUAAGCAAGCCGCCUGGGAAGUACGGUCGCAAGAUUA
Molecule: ribosomal RNA, 371 nt
Filed under: uncultured organism
Description: bacterial SSU rRNA
Rfam family: Bacterial small subunit ribosomal RNA
Source: RNAcentral